GGGGGUAUGGAUCAGUGGUAGAGCAUUUGACUACAGAUCAAGACAUCCCCAGUUCAAAUCUGGGUCCCCCCU
Molecule: non-coding RNA, 72 nt
Organism: Xenopus tropicalis (tropical clawed frog)
Lineage: Eukaryota; Metazoa; Chordata; Amphibia; Anura; Pipidae
Source: Rfam